UGUCCUCUGAAGGGGCGGCGCAUGGGCGUCCCCCGCCCUGCUAGCCCCAUCUCCUUCCCUGUCCCUGCUUGGGCAGGAGGCCCAAGCCCUGACAACAGAGGUGAGAGAGGCUGUGCCAGCCCUUCUCUGGGCAUGUCUGGGCUCAAGGGCCAGGCUCUGUCUCCAGUCUAGGGCCAAGCUGGGGCCUGUGGCAGGAUCAGAUAGAGGCAAAACAUUGAUGAGGCAGGGGGACGGACAAAAUGGGCCUUCCAGAGGUGCUCUCAGACCCUCCCAGCCACACUACAGCCGCAGAGCCCUCCGCUCACAAACCAUCCUGGCCUCAUCAGAACCUGGGGAGGGUUCCUAGUUGUGCAGGGGGUUCCCUGUACGUACCCCUUUCCCUCCAGCACUGGAGCCCGAGUCUCCCGCUGAGCAGGCACCUCUCCCUCCACGCCCAGGCUUCUUAAACCAACCCCUCCUCCCCUUGUCAUUCAUGAACCAGAUGCAGAAACUGAGGCUCAGAAGCGUUCGGCCACGUGCAUGCAUUGCCUUUCCCAUUGGUGCUCCAUCGCCAGUAAUGGAUAAGUAAUAAGUAAUAAGGUGAUUCUGACUCUCCUGGAACCUGAGAACCACCAGUCUACGGGAACAGAGCCCUGCUUUGGGUCAGGUGUGUAUAACUAUGGUAUUCCCUUUCUUCUCUGCCUCUAUUGUUGAUGUUGUUUUUUUGUUUUUUGUUUUUUUUUGAAACGGA
RNAcentral lists this long non-coding RNA (730 nucleotides) under Homo sapiens (human). Its description in RNAcentral is "HSALNT0290974". The record is from RNAcentral. Lineage: Eukaryota; Metazoa; Chordata; Mammalia; Primates; Hominidae.